CGCUGGCGGCGUGCUUAACACAUGCAAGUCGAACGAUGAACCACUUCGGUGGGGAUUAGUGGCGAACGGGUGAGUAACACGUGGGCAAUCUGCCCUGCACUCUGGGACAAGCCCUGGAAACGGGGUCUAAUACCGGAUAUGACCAUCUUGGGCAUCCUUGAUGGUGUAAAGCUCCGGCGGUGCAGGAUGAGCCCGCGGCCUAUCAGCUUGUUGGUGAGGUAAUGGCUCACCAAGGCGACGACGGGUAGCCGGCCUGAGAGGGCGACCGGCCACACUGGGACUGAGACACGGCCCAGACUCCUACGGGAGGCAGCAGUGGGGAAUAUUGCACAAUGGGCGAAAGCCUGAUGCAGCGACGCCGCGUGAGGGAUGACGGCCUUCGGGUUGUAAACCUCUUUCAGCAGGGAAGAAGCGAAAGUGACGGUACCUGCAGAAGAAGCGCCGGCUAACUACGUGCCAGCAGCCGCGGUAAUACGUAGGGCGCAAGCGUUGUCCGGAAUUAUUGGGCGUAAAGAGCUCGUAGGCGGCUUGUCACGUCGGGUGUGAAAGCCCGGGGCUUAACCCCGGGUCUGCAUUCGAUACGGGCUAGCUAGAGUGUGGUAGGGGAGAUCGGAAUUCCUGGU
Molecule: ribosomal RNA, 623 nt
Filed under: Streptomyces sp. ATT508
Lineage: Bacteria; Bacillati; Actinomycetota; Actinomycetes; Kitasatosporales; Streptomycetaceae
Description: bacterial SSU rRNA
Rfam family: Bacterial small subunit ribosomal RNA
Source: RNAcentral